This 288-nucleotide small nuclear RNA is filed under the name Castor canadensis (American beaver). Its description in RNAcentral is "7SK RNA (ENSCCNG00000016791.1)". The stretch from base 1 to 259 matches the Rfam family "7SK RNA". From Rfam's summary of the family: 7SK was discovered as an abundant small nuclear RNA in the mid-70s but a possible function has only recently been suggested. Two independent studies have found that 7SK RNA binds the CDK9/cyclin T complex (known as elongation factor P-TEFb). Lineage: Eukaryota; Metazoa; Chordata; Mammalia; Rodentia; Castoridae. The record is from RNAcentral.
GAAUGUGAGGCUGAUCUGCCUGGGACAUCUGUCACCCCACUGAUCACCAGGGUUGAUUCAGCUGAUCUGGCUGGUUAGGUUGGGUGCCCCUUCCUUCCUCACAACUCCAUGUACUUGGUCCUCUGAUAGAGGAGGACUAUUUUUUGGUCAAAGGUAUAUGAGUAUCUGCAAUCCCUGCUAGAACCUUCAAACAAGCCUCAAGGUCUAAAUAAAGUAAAUUCAAUAAACUUUCCCCCAUAAGAAACUCAGAUAAGGGGUUGGUGUAGCUCAGUGCUACAACGCUUGCCC